UGGGUAUUUAGUUUAUUUAAAACGAAUGUUUUGAAAACAUUUAAAGGAUUACCUAUCCAAUACCC
Molecule: transfer RNA, 65 nt
Filed under: Cherax destructor
Lineage: Eukaryota; Metazoa; Arthropoda; Malacostraca; Decapoda; Parastacidae
Description: tRNA-Ser
Source: RNAcentral